CCUACGGGAGGCAGCAGUGGGGAAUAUUGCACAAUGGGGGGAACCCUGAUGCAGCGACGCCGCGUGAGUGAAGAAGUAUUUCGGUAUGUAAAGCUCUAUCAGCAGGGAAGAAGAUGACGGUACCUGACUAAGAAGCCCCGGCUAACUACGUGCCAGCAGCCGCGGUAAUACGUAGGGGGCAAGCGUUAUCCGGAUUUACUGGGUGUAAAGGGAGCGUAGACGGCAGCACAAGUCUGGAGUGAAAUGCCGGGGCUUAACCCCGGGACUGCUUUGGAAAUUGUGCAGCGAGAGUGCAGGAGAGGUAAGUGGAAUUCCUAGUGUAGCGGUGAAAUGCGUAGAUAUUAGGAGGAACACCAGUGGCGAAGGCGGCUUACUGGACUGUAACUGACGUUGAGGCUCGAAAGCGUGGGGAGCAAACAGGAUUAGAUACCCGAGUAGUC
This 440-nucleotide ribosomal RNA is filed under the name uncultured bacterium. RNAcentral describes it as "partial 16S ribosomal RNA". It matches the Rfam family "Bacterial small subunit ribosomal RNA", at positions 338 to 795 of the family's 1533-position model. The record is from RNAcentral.